Molecule: ribosomal RNA, 1022 nt
Filed under: Knufia perforans
Lineage: Eukaryota; Fungi; Ascomycota; Eurotiomycetes; Chaetothyriales; Trichomeriaceae
Description: SSU rRNA
Rfam family: Eukaryotic small subunit ribosomal RNA
Source: RNAcentral
AUACUGUGAAACUGCGAAUGGCUCAUUAAAUCAGUUAUCGUUUAUUUGAUAGUACCUUUACCUGGAUAACCGUGGUAAUUCUAGAGCUAAUACAUGCUAAAAAUCCCGACUUCGGAAGGGAUGUAUUUAUUAGAUAAAAAACCAAUGCCCUUCGGGGCUCCUUGGUGAUUCAUAAUAACUUAACGAAUCGCAUGGCCUUGCGCCGGCGAUGGUUCAUUCAAAUUUCUGCCCUAUCAACUUUCGAUGGUAGGAUAGUGGCCUACCAUGGUCUCAACGGGUAACGGGGAAUUAGGGUUCUAUUCCGGAGAGGGAGCCUGAGAAACGGCUACCACAUCCAAGGAAGGCAGCAGGCGCGCAAAUUACCCAAUCCCAAUUCGGGGAGGUAGUGACAAUAAAUACUGAUACAGGGCUCUUUUGGGUCUUGUAAUUGGAAUGAGUACAAUCUAAAUCCCUUAACGAGGAACAAUUGGAGGGCAAGUCUGGUGCCAGCAGCCGCGGUAAUUCCAGCUCCAAUAGCGUAUAUUAAAGUUGUUGCCGUUAAAAAGCUCGUAGUUGAACCUUGGGCCUGGCUGAUCUGUCCUCCUAAUCGAGCGCACGGAUUCGGUCGGGCCUUUCCUUCUGGGGAGCCCGAUGCCCUUCACUGGGUGUCGCGGGGAACCAGGACUUUUACCUUGAAAAAAUUAGAGUGUUCAAAGCAGGCCUUUGCUCGAAUACAUUAGCAUGGAAUAAUAGAAUAGGACAGAGGUUCUAUUUUGUUGGUUUCUAGGACCGCUGUAAUGAUUAAUAGGGAUAGUCGGGGGCGUCCGUAUUCAAUUGUCAGAGGUGAAAUUCUUGGAUUUAUUGAAGACGAACUACUGCGAAAGCAUUCGCCAAGGAUGUUUUCAUUAAUCAGUGAACGAAAGUUAGGGGAUCGAAGACGAUCAGAUACCGUCGUAGUCUUAACCAUAAACUAUGCCGACUAGGGAUCGGACGGUGGUUUUUUUAUGCCCCGUUCGGCACCUUACGAGAAAUCAAAGUUUUUG